Molecule: ribosomal RNA, 497 nt
Filed under: uncultured bacterium
Lineage: Bacteria
Description: partial 16S ribosomal RNA
Rfam family: Bacterial small subunit ribosomal RNA
Source: RNAcentral
GAUGAACGCUGGCGGCGUGCCUAAUACAUGCAAGUCGAGCGAACAGACGAGGAGCUUGCUCCUCUGACGUUAGCGGCGGACGGGUGAGUAACACGUGGAUAACCUACCUAUAAGACUGGGAUAACUUCGGGAAACCGGAGCUAAUACCGGAUGAUAUAUUGAACCGCAUGGUUCAAUAGUGAAAGACGGUGUUGCUGUCACUUAUAGAUGGAUCCGCGCUGCAUUAGCUAGUUGGUAAGGUAACGGCUUACCAAGGCAACGAUGCGUAGCCGACCUGAGAGGGUGAUCGGCCACACUGGAACUGAGACACGGUCCAGACUCCUACGGGAGGCAGCAGUAGGGAAUCUUCCGCAAUGGGCGAAAGCCUGACGGAGCAACGCCGCGUGAGUGAUGAAGGUCUUCGGAUCGUAAAACUCUGUUAUUAGGGAAGAACAAAUGUGUAAGUAACUGUGCACGUCUUGACGGUACCUAAUCAGAAAGCCACGGCUAACUACGUG